Columba livia (rock pigeon) is the source of this 1437-nucleotide long non-coding RNA. RefSeq lists it as uncharacterized. Lineage: Eukaryota; Metazoa; Chordata; Aves; Columbiformes; Columbidae. The record is from RefSeq and is a predicted model, not a curated record. The transcript is spliced from 3 exons.
GCACACGUGCUGGGAUGCACGGCCCUGGCACCCAUCAUUUAUCUGUCUCCUCCUCGUUGUAAAUUAGCCUUGAAAUGCAAGUGGUUUUUUCUGCUUGCCAUGUGUAGGUGCUGUGGUCGCACCCCAGGUGCUGGUGCAGCCAGAAAUCAGCCCCCAACUGCAAAAAUUCCCUACCUGCCAGACCCAAAGAAAAAUGCUUUAAUACUCUUCCAUGGGAGUUAUAUCUUUUCAGGAACAGAAGGUGGCAGCCGAGCUUGCAGUGAGUGCCUGGCAUAAGUAGCUGUGAUAUUGCUCAGAAGUGUAAAAGCGUUUAAUUUCUCGGUGCAUGGCGUGGAGGCAGCGCAACCACCCCGAGCCCAAGGCAGCAGCCCCGCAGCGAGUGGGUUCUUCACUCAGGCUGGAGAUCUUGGGGCUUGUGGAGCUCUGCUGCAAAUCUGGAGAGUCAAACCAAAUCCCACCACUACCCCGUGUAUAAAACGACAUUAUAUGACACUGCACAAAACAUAUGAAACAUUUCUCCAGUUAUUCAUACAUACCCUAGUCCAAAGGAAAUUAUUAAGUUUUUCACAAAAAGGACGAGCAGCUGAAAAGCAUCUCUGCAUUGGUAUGUUGAGCAGUGGAGUCACACAGGCACCUGCAGCCAUCCACGCACCACUCGGGAAGAGUGCUGUAUUUCUUGAGGUUUGUAGCUCUUGUCCUCCCACUCUCUAAUUCAUAUACAUAAAACUGGUGUGCUGCCACAUUCUCUCCACACAAAUGCAUUAGCUGAUCAGAAAGGCUUCCCAUUCAUCUGGCUUGUCACUCGGGUGAGGUGGAGGCAGGACUGACUUGUCAACUUGCAGUGAUGAGAGUCGGGGUGGAGGGCAGGAUAAAGCAAUAAAAAAUGGUGUGUAUAUUUCUCCCCUUGGUUUUCCAAAGGAAGUUUCAGGUGCUGGAAUCUCCCAUCCACUUUCAAUCAGGAGAAAACCAGCAACCCAAUACUUGCCCACAGCCUCCUUGCAUAACUGAUGGUGGAGUGAGGUGGCAGGAGGCAAUCAUGGCCAAACCACCAGGUUUGCUGUGCUGUAGCUUCCUGGCCGUGCUGACGCUCUCCUCGGGAUUGCAACCCUUUGUCCCCACUGUACUUGGCACCAUUCUUAUGGUGAUUUCUAGGACAGCAGAAGGAAGGUGUUUGUGACCCACCUGAGAGAUCACAGUGACAGUGCAGAGCUUCGCACCCAUCAGGUGUACAACACCUUCCCCAUCUCCACACAAAUUCUGGCCGGGCUCUGCUCAAACCUUCAUCCCCCGUGAAGUUCCCACUUCAAACCUGGCAUCACGCUCCUGCCGCCGGCAGAGCCGACUGAGAGCAAACAAAGCAAUGCUCGAAUCCUGCCGGGGGCUGCGGGUCAGGGGCUGCGGGUCACCGACCGGGCUCUACCCGGCGGGGUGGCAGCA